Triticum dicoccoides is the source of this 646-nucleotide long non-coding RNA. RefSeq lists it as uncharacterized. The transcript has 4 exons. NCBI's taxonomy places the organism in Eukaryota, Viridiplantae, Streptophyta, Magnoliopsida, Poales, Poaceae. The record is from RefSeq and is a predicted model, not a curated record.
AUACUCCCAAACUGAAGCAUACAUUUCUUAAUAUCUAUUCCCUGUUAACUGUUGAGCAUGCUUUGACUGUGCUUCCCAAAGUGCUUCCAAGUGUUCAAGAUCUGACAUUGCAUGCUCAUUUUACACUUAAGAUGCCUUUGUUGAUGGAAAAUCCAUGCAAAUUUUCCCAGUUGAAAUAUUUACAUUUGAAGCUGUCAAUUGGUCAUAGGGAAGCUGGCAACAUUCUAUCUUUGGCCUCUUUUCUGAGGGCUGCUCCUUCUGUUGAAAAGUUAGAAAUGCAUGAUUUUCUGGAACAACAGGACAACUUGAAUUUCUGGUGCAUGUUGUUGAAAAUGCCCCUGCUCUGAAGAUAUUGACGAUUAAAGGAGCUGACUCGAGUGGCUGUGAUCUCGAUAAUGAAGGGAAAAGAAGAUUUACUUUGAAGUUUCGCGAAUUGGAGAGAAAAUACCUUCAUGGGAUAAUUUCACCAAAUGUGGAGCUUCGUAUUAUUUAAGUGUGCCAGACAUGUAGCUGCUCUUGUACAAGCAAUGGGCUGCUGUUCCAUUUGCCCACUUUAUUUUGACUUGAAGUUAAGAUCCUCCUCUGUCGGUAAGCCGCUCCGAGGCUUCGACCUGCAAGAAGCAGAGAUGUUUCCCAUGAUGGCGAC